GGUACAACGUAUCUUCAUUCUAGUUCGAUUGGGAUUAUUCAUAAUGGACCAAUGCCCGAGGGUUAUGUGAAAAUCUAAGUAUCUGAAAUCUAUCCCGAUUCCAAGAAAACGUCUCUUCCUCCACUUUCAUGCUAUGAUGUACUUGAAGAUUUAGGUGAUGCUAUUGGUUAUUUCAUUUAGUGGCCACUUUCUACAAUAAAGGUAGUCUAAUAUACGAAUUAUAUAUUACUUUUUUUUUACUCUUAGUAAGACUUCUAGUAUGUUUGUUAACCUGUAGCUUUCAAACACGAAGGCCAUUCCGCAUAAUCCAUCCUUGACACAACAAACUCAUGACAACACAUGUUAUUCAUUAGAGUUUGAGGAUGUCGCUGAACAAAACCAAACUCAUGAAAGUCAUCAAAUUGAUACGACUAUGGUCGAAAAUGUUGACGAUGAGUUUCUAUUUGGUUCACACGAUGUUUCCACUGAACAUGAUGUUGACGGACUAGAAGAACCAGAUAGGACGUUUUCCAAACACGAGGUUCAUGUUGAACAACCUCAAGCUCCAAUGUUGUCAAAGCAAAAUAUACUGGAGGCCUUGUGGAAGAUCCAAAAUUUGCGAAUUGCCUUUGAAAUUAACAAAAAAGACGGGAUUACCCCUGACUUAACGGAGAAAAAUGGAUGGAGUUAACGAACCGGAUGAAACUGACAAGAUUUCACACAUUUUGGAUCCAGACGCAGAAAAACAAAGCUUUUGACGAAAGUCACAAAAUUGGCCAAACCUCAUGAACAAAAA
This is a long non-coding RNA of Helianthus annuus (common sunflower), 775 nucleotides long. RefSeq lists it as uncharacterized. The transcript is spliced from 4 exons. Lineage: Eukaryota; Viridiplantae; Streptophyta; Magnoliopsida; Asterales; Asteraceae. The record is from RefSeq and is a predicted model, not a curated record.